Molecule: ribosomal RNA, 465 nt
Filed under: uncultured bacterium
Lineage: Bacteria
Description: bacterial SSU rRNA
Rfam family: Bacterial small subunit ribosomal RNA
Source: RNAcentral
CCUACGGGCUGCACCAGUGGGGAAUAUUGCACAAUGGGCGCAAGCCUGAUGCAGCCAUGCCGCGUGUGUGAAGAAGGCCUUCGGGUUGUAAAGCACUUUCAGCGGGGAGGAAGGCGAUAAGGUUAAUAACCUUGUCGAUUGACGUUACCCGCAGAAGAAGCACCGGCUAACUCCGUGCCAGCAGCCGCGGUAAUACGGAGGGUGCAAGCGUUAAUCGGAAUUACUGGGCGUAAAGCGCACGCAGGCGGUCUGUCAAGUCGGAUGUGAAAUCCCCGGGCUCAACCUGGGAACUGCAUUCGAAACUGGCAGGCUAGAGUCUUGUAGAGGGGGGCAGAAUUCCAGGUGUAGCGGUGAAAUGCGUAGAGAUCUGGAGGAAUACCGGUGGCGAAGGCGGCCCCCUGGACAAAGACUGACGCUCAGGUGUGAAAGCGUGGGGAGCAAACAGGAUUAGAUACCCGCUUAGUG